This 254-nucleotide ribosomal RNA is filed under the name uncultured bacterium. Its description in RNAcentral is "partial 16S ribosomal RNA". It matches the Rfam family "Bacterial small subunit ribosomal RNA", at positions 524 to 776 of the family's 1533-position model. The record is from RNAcentral.
UACGGAGGAGGCAAGCGUUAUCCGGAAUUAUUGGGCGUAAAGCGUCCGUAGGUGGCUCUCUCAAGUCUGCGGUCAAAGACCGGGGUUCAACCCUGGAAAGGCCGUGGAAACUGGUGAGCUAGAGUGCGGUAGGGGCAGAGGGAAUUCCCAGUGUAGCGGUGAAAUGCGUAGAGCUCGGGAAGAACAUCGGUGGCGAAAGCGCUCUGCUGGACUGCAACUGACACUCAGGGACGAAAGCUAGGGGAGCGAAUGGG